GAGGGUAUAGCUCAAAUGGAGAGCACAUGCUUAGCAUGCAAGAGGUCCUGGGUUCAAUUCCCAGUACCUCUA
This is a transfer RNA of Camelus ferus (Wild Bactrian camel), 72 nucleotides long. It matches the Rfam family "tRNA". Rfam says of the family: Transfer RNA (tRNA) molecules are approximately 80 nucleotides in length. Their secondary structure includes four short double-helical elements and three loops (D, anti-codon, and T loops). The record is from Rfam. Lineage: Eukaryota; Metazoa; Chordata; Mammalia; Artiodactyla; Camelidae.